Molecule: ribosomal RNA, 347 nt
Filed under: uncultured bacterium
Lineage: Bacteria
Description: partial 16S ribosomal RNA
Rfam family: Bacterial small subunit ribosomal RNA
Source: RNAcentral
CCUACGGGAGGCAGCAGUGAGGAAUAUAGGUCAAUGGGCGCGAGCCGGAACCAGCCAAGGAGCGUGAAGGAUGACUGCCCGACGGGGUGUAAACUUCGGUUAUAAAGGAAUAAAGUGAGGCACGUGUGCCUUUUUGUAUGUACUUUAUGAAUAAGGAUCGGCUAACUCCGUGCCAGCAGCCGCGGUAAUACGGAGGAUCCGAGCGUUAUCCGGAUUUAUUGGGUUUAAAGGGAGAGUAGAGGGGUUGUUAAGUCAGUUGUGAAAGUUUGCGGCUCAACCGUAAAAUUGCAAUUGAUACUGGCAGUCUUGAGUACAGUUGAGGUAGGCGGAAUUCGUGGUGUAGCGGU